AACGAACGCUGGCGGCAUGCCUAACACAUGCAAGUCGAACGAUCCCUUCGGGGAUAGUGGCGCACGGGUGCGUAACGCGUGGGAACCUGCCCUUAGGUUCGGAAUAACUCAGAGAAAUUUGAGCUAAUACCGGAUAAUGUCUUCGGACCAAAGAUUUAUCGCCUUUGGAUGGGCCCGCGUUGGAUUAGCUAGUUGGCGGGGUAAAGGCCUACCAAGGCGACGAUCCAUAGCUGGUCUGAGAGGAUGAUCAGCCACACUGGGACUGAGACACGGCCCAGACUCCUACGGGAGGCAGCAGUGGGGAAUAUUGGACAAUGGGCGAAAGCCUGAUCCAGCAAUGCCGCGUGAGUGAUGAAGGCCUUAGGGUUGUAAAGCUCUUUUACCCGGGAUGAUAAUGACAGUACCGGGAGAAUAAGCCCCGGCUAACUCCGU
This 432-nucleotide ribosomal RNA is filed under the name uncultured bacterium. Its description in RNAcentral is "partial 16S ribosomal RNA". It matches the Rfam family "Bacterial small subunit ribosomal RNA", at positions 29 to 506 of the family's 1533-position model. The record is from RNAcentral.